Molecule: long non-coding RNA, 888 nt
Filed under: Ananas comosus (pineapple)
Lineage: Eukaryota; Viridiplantae; Streptophyta; Magnoliopsida; Poales; Bromeliaceae
Description: long non-coding RNA (ACOM_LNC039089)
Source: RNAcentral
GCGGUUGUUGCAUAUAUACUUCUAGUUCUUUCUUUACAGUUGUCUUGCUACUAUAGUUUUGAUAUCCUUGUAUGCUUGCAGUUGUACAUUACAGUAGUGGUAGUUGUGUUUUCAUAUAUAUAUCUCAUUCGUUCAUUAUCGUUGCUACUGUAUUUUACUUACCCAUACUGUUGUUUAUCUCUUCCUGAUCCGGUGAGUACUCCUCGCCUUCUUCGGCUUGCGGUACCCACUGGGAGGGGAGACAUGUUUACAUGUUCUCACCUCCCCCACUAUUUUUCAGGUAUUGCAGACGUUGAGUUUUGGGACGAGCCGUGAGGUACGUUCGUAGCGGUCGAUAGAGCUUCCGACCCAGAUUAUCGGUUUAGUUUUAUCCCUACUAUUCUGUUGUUAUAGCUUAGUCAGUUUAUAUAGUUCAGUAUUUUUAUUACAUUGGAAUAUGUGGACUUUCAUGAAUGUAAUAAAAGAAUUUCUGGAUUUGGUAAAAUAAAAAAUUUCUACCCCUCGUGGUAGCUUUUAUAAAAGAUAAAAGUUUUCGCGUAUGGAACAGUUUUUAAAAGGUUUUUCGUGGACUUUUGUUUAAACAUCGAAUGUAAAACUACGGUGUGAAUGGUAAAUGUAUGAACGUAUAGCUAUCUGUAUAUUCAUUUAGUUGUGGUUGUAUACUGUUUGUACUUUUGUACUUUUGCGACGCCGUGCAAAUACAGGGGAGACUCUGUCCGUGUGAACAGUGGAUUCCCUGUAUUUGUGGCGGAUUUGACAUACUCUGGGGUCAGGUGCUUCAAAAAAAAAAAAAUUUAAUCGUUUCCGCUGUUUUUCCAAACUUAAAAGGGACCCCGGGGCGUGACAUUCCUGUAGCCUGGUUUUUCAGGACUUAGCCGUUUUUCCAGC